CAGUAGCCGCGGUAACACAAAGGGGGCUAGCGUUGCUCGGAAUGACUGGGCGUAAAGGGCGCGUAGGCGGUUCGUACAGUUGGAUGUGAAAUUCCUGGGCUCAACCUAGGAAUUGCAUUUGAUACUGUUUGGCUUGAGUUCGGGAGAGGUGAGUGGAAUUCCCAGUGUAGAGGUGAAAUUCGUAGAUAUUGGGAAGAACACCAGUGGCGAAGGCGGCUCACUGGACCGACACUGACGCUGAGGCGCGAAAGCGUGGGGAGCAAACAGGAUUAGAUACCCCAGUAGUCCCUGUCUCUUAUAC
RNAcentral lists this ribosomal RNA (301 nucleotides) under uncultured bacterium. RNAcentral's name for it is "partial 16S ribosomal RNA". It matches the Rfam family "Bacterial small subunit ribosomal RNA", at positions 509 to 807 of the family's 1533-position model. The record is from RNAcentral.